AGUAAAAGUCGUAACAAGGUUUCCGUAGGUGAACCUGCGGAAGGAUCAUUAUUGAAUAAACUUGGUGGGUUGUUGCUGGCUUUUCGGAGCAUGUGCACACCCAACCCAUUGUUUUUCUCCACCUGUGCACCAUUUGUAGACUUGGAUACCUCUCGGGGGAAACCCCGGUUUGAGGAUUGCUGGCUUCUUCAGAGGUCGGCUUUCCUUGCAUUUCCAGUCUAUGUUUUCAUAUACACUAUAAUGUUAUAGAAUGUCUUUUAUGGGCUUCAUUGCCUUUAAACUUAUACAACUUUCAACAACGGAUCUCUUGGCUCUCGCAUCGAUGAAGAACGCAGCGAAAUGCGAUAAGUAAUGUGAAUUGCAGAAUUCAGUGAAUCAUCGAAUCUUUGAACGCACCUUGCGCUCCUUGGUAUUCCGAGGAGCAUGCCUGUUUGAGUGUCAUUAAAUUCUCAACCUCUUCCAUUUUUAUUAAUGGGUUAGGCUUGGAUGUGGGGGUUGCGGGCUUCUAAGAAGUCGGCUCUCCUUAAAUGCAUUAGCGGAACCUUUGUGGACCGUCUUUGGUGUGAUAAUUAUCUACGCCAUGGUCGAGAAGCAGUUUUACAUGGGGUUCAGCUUCUAACUGUCUAUUUAUUUGGACAACUUUUGACAUUUUGACCUCAAAUCAGGUAGGACUACCCGCUGAACUUAAGCAUAUCAAUAAGCGGAGGA
RNAcentral lists this ribosomal RNA (708 nucleotides) under uncultured fungus. Its description in RNAcentral is "eukaryotic LSU rRNA". The stretch from base 288 to 441 matches the Rfam family "5.8S ribosomal RNA". Lineage: Eukaryota; Fungi. The record is from RNAcentral.